This 496-nucleotide ribosomal RNA is filed under the name uncultured bacterium. RNAcentral's name for it is "partial 16S ribosomal RNA". It matches the Rfam family "Bacterial small subunit ribosomal RNA", at positions 29 to 507 of the family's 1533-position model. The record is from RNAcentral.
AUGCACGCUGGCGGCGUGCCUAAUACCUGCCAGUCGAGCGAACAGACGAGGAGCUUGCUCCUCUGACGUUAGCGGCGGACGGGUGAGUAACACGUGGAUAACCUACCUAUAAGACUGGGAUAACUUCGGGAAACCGGAGCUAAUACCGGAUAAUAUAUUGAACCGCAUGGUUCAAUAGUGAAAGACGGUUUUGCUGUCACUUAUAGAUGGAUCCGCGCCGCAUUAGCUAGUUGGUAAGGUAACGGCUUACCAAGGCAACGAUGCGUAGCCGACCUGAGAGGGUGAUCGGCCACACUGGAACUGAGACACGGUCCAGACUCCUACGGGAGGCAGCAGUAGGGAAUCUUCCGCAAUGGGCGAAAGCUUGACGGAGCAACGCCGCGUGAGUGAUGAAGGUCUUCGGAUCGUAAAACUCUGUUAUUAGGGAAGAACAAAUGUGUAAGUAACUAUGCACGUCUUGACGGUACCUAAUCAGAAAGCCACGGCUAACUACGUG